CCUACGGGAGGCAGCAGUGAGGAAUAUUGGUCAAUGGCCGGAAGGCUGAACCAGCCAAGCCGCGUGAAGGACGAAGGUGCCAAGCAUUGUAAACUUCUUUUGUCAGGGAAGAGUAGAAGACGGUACCUGACGAAUAAGCCACGGCUAACUACGUGCCAGCAGCCGCGGUAAUACGUAGGUGGCAAGCGUUGUGCGGAUUUACUGGGUGUAAAGGGCGUGUAGCCGGGUUGACAAGUCAGAUGUGAAAUCCUGCGGCUUAACCGCAGAACUGCAUUUGAAACUGUUGAUCUUGAGUACUGGAGAGGCAGACGGAAUUCCUAGUGUAGCGGUGAAAUGCGUAGAUAUUAGGAGGAACACCGGUGGCGAAGGCGGUCUGCUGGACAGCAACUGACGGUGAGGCGCGAAAGCGUGGGGAGCAAACAGGAUUAGAUACCCCAGUAGUC
Molecule: ribosomal RNA, 443 nt
Filed under: uncultured bacterium
Lineage: Bacteria
Description: partial 16S ribosomal RNA
Rfam family: Bacterial small subunit ribosomal RNA
Source: RNAcentral